Molecule: microRNA precursor, 163 nt
Organism: Oryza sativa Japonica Group (Japanese rice)
Lineage: Eukaryota; Viridiplantae; Streptophyta; Magnoliopsida; Poales; Poaceae
Rfam family: MIR812 microRNA precursor family
Source: Rfam
AAUAAGCGUCCUAAAGUUUUGCACUAUUUGUGUUCAACAUUUAACCGUUCGUCUUAUUUAAAAUUUUUUUAUGAUCAGUAUUUUUAUUGCUAUUAUUUUUAAAUGUUUCAUAAAUUUUUAAAAUAAGAUGGACGGUCAAACAUUGGACAUGAAUAUCGACAGC